This 500-nucleotide ribosomal RNA is filed under the name uncultured Aeromonas sp. RNAcentral's name for it is "bacterial SSU rRNA". It matches the Rfam family "Bacterial small subunit ribosomal RNA", at positions 525 to 1027 of the family's 1533-position model. The record is from RNAcentral. Lineage: Bacteria; Pseudomonadati; Pseudomonadota; Gammaproteobacteria; Aeromonadales; Aeromonadaceae.
ACGGAGGGUGCAAGCGUUAAUCGGAAUUACUGGGCGUAAAGCGCACGCAGGCGGUUGGAUAAGUAGAUGUGAAAGCCCCGGGCUCAACCUGGGAAUGCAUUUAAAACUGUCCAGCUAGAGUCUGNAGAGGGGGGUAGAAUCCAGGUGUAGCGGUGAAAUGCGUAGAGAUCUGGAGGAAUACCGGUGGCGAAAGCGGCCCCCUGGACAAAGACUGACGCUCAGGUGCGAAAGCGUGGGGAGCAAACAGGAUUAGAUACCCUGGUAGUCCACGCCGUAAACGAUGUCGAUUUGGAGGCUGUGUCCUUGAGACGUGGCUUCCGGAGCUAACGCGUAAAAUCGACCGCCUGGGGAGUACGGCCGCAAAGUUAAAACUCAAAUGAAUGGACGGGGGCCCGCACAAGCGGUGGAGCAUGUGGUUAAAUUCGAUGCAACGCGAAGAACCUUACCCGGCCUGGACAUGUCUGGGAAUCCUGCAAAGAUGCGGGAGUGCCUUCGGGGAA